Molecule: long non-coding RNA, 410 nt
Filed under: Mytilus galloprovincialis (Mediterranean mussel)
Lineage: Eukaryota; Metazoa; Mollusca; Bivalvia; Mytilida; Mytilidae
Source: RNAcentral
GAAAUGACGGAAUGACAGCAAACACAAUGCAAUUUCCAAUAUAAUCAAUAUUUCCGAAUGGCAUAACUCUUUUAAAGAAUAGUUGAUAUGCACUGAUUUUCGAGCGUGUCCAUACGAUAUCAGUUUUAUAGAAAGUUAACAAGAAUUGUACACUUGAAAAAUUUAAUUAACCAGAAGGACCGGAAGGACAGACAGAGGAAUGGACGUGCGAUAUUUUAUGUACGCGCUAUAUGGUGAAAAAAAUAUAUAGUUAUUGACCAACGCUAUGAGAUAAGGAUUUUAAUCGCAACUAGUCCAAUCGUAUUUGCCAAAUAAAAAAAAAAAAAAAGUUAUAGUUUCAUUGUUUGGACAAAAUCAUUCUUUAGCAAAUUGAAGACUUCUCCUUUAUAAGAUUUUGCUUUUGUUUUCUG